Dromaius novaehollandiae (emu) is the source of this 6950-nucleotide long non-coding RNA. RefSeq lists it as uncharacterized. NCBI's taxonomy places the organism in Eukaryota, Metazoa, Chordata, Aves, Casuariiformes, Dromaiidae. The transcript has 18 exons. The record is from RefSeq and is a predicted model, not a curated record.
GGUGGGAGGGGAGGAGCGCGGCGCGGCGGCGGCGGCAGCGGGGCCGGCCAGGGCAGGGAGGCAAGGAAGUUGUACCCGUCAGCACCUGCUGAGGGCUUCGCUGAUCAAACUGACAGGAACCAACCACUUUUAAAAUGGAAGCUAAAAUAAUCGGAAAGCCUUCUGAGAGUGAAGCAAGCUAAACUUGGUGUGCUUGUCCUUACUGGAUUCAGGGGCACCCUUUCAGAUAAAAACAUGGACCUGAUUGGCAUCAUCCUGUAUCCAUGGAAACGUUAGCUCUGCAAGAUUGGCAUUAUCCUGUAGUAGUGUCACAGCCUGCAGUCGUUUAAUGCUGCUUCUUGUGAGGCCAGGAUUCCACGCCCAAGUGCAUUUAGUAGGAAAAUACUUCUAAGCCAGAAUUCAGCCCAUUUUAGGACCAGAGGCAAGUAAUUUAGCUCGCUUCCAGCUGAUGGAAGAUUAAGGAAAAGGCAAUACUGAAUCUGUAGACCUUCGCUGAAUCUCUUGACUCAUUGCUACAUCUGAUACUGGUCCCCUCUGAAGGAAACUGAGCUGACUGAGAUUGGGCAGUCUUCAUCUGGCACAAGAAGAGUGGCAAGACUCCUUAUUUCUCCUGAUCUCUGCUUAUGAAAGAAGGGCCAAGGAAACUCAUUCCUAGAGUGUAAGCUACCAAGAAAAGACUACCAUCACUGAAUCAGAUAUCCUGGAGUUCUUAUAUUUUGGAACCGUGUAACCAUGCUAACUACCCUGUUGUCAUCAUGAAAAAGGCCAGAAAAGAAGUCUAGCUGCUGCAGUGGCUCAGUUAAUGCUCCAAGGGCAAUGCCUCUGGAUCUUCUGCAUUGGGCUCUACUCUUUGUUAAACAGCUCAGCUCACGUACAUCCACCUUCUUCCUUCCCCUUCCACUCUCCGUUUGUCUGUGCUCAGAGGUACCCACUACUGGAAAAUCAAACCUUUAAAGUAUGGACAAGAACAGGAGAAAACCAUCCUCCAGUUCCCAGUAGGAGCUUUCAAACAGAAAGAACUUUCAUGCUUUUUGUAAUGGGCUAAAGGUUUUUGUCAUUGAAAAAGGAAUUUUGGACCAAACCAGGGAAUUUUCUUCCUUGUCAGAAGGUUUAGCUUUCAUGAAAGAGCAUGGAAGAGGAAAGAAAUGACAGUAUAAGAUUGAGAAUCCAGGUGCUCUUGGCAGGUGAGCGUCAUAAGCAUUGUGGCUCUGGUUCAAGCCAACUGCAGCCUGGAAAAUGAAAUAUAAUCUAAAAAUAUCAUAAAAAUGGAAAUUUUCAGCGUUAAUCUCAUGUCGUCACGUCAAACCAGGCUGUACCUUUGGGUCCUAGCCAUGAAAAAGGGGAGACCAGCUCUCAGCAGAACUGUUGCAAGGAUGAUUACAAAGAAAGGAAGGAAGGAGUUGUGGGUUAGAGCUGUCCUAGGACAGAUAACAGAGUUACUGGGGAGUGAAGAUAUGAUCACCCCUGCAGUCCCAUGCAGAUCCGUCAGCAAAAACAGCCACCUCCUGGAUAUGCCUCUUUGGGACCUCCAGCAGCUUCUGAGGAAGGAAGGCCAAGCAGGGCAUGCUUUGCUAAUAAGUGUCUGGGGCCUGUGUGCCAGUGUCAUGGAUGUGAAGUGGAAGAGCUAAUGGGACUUUUUUCCCCCACCCCCCUCAUUCAAUUAUGCAAAAUUCUUUAAGUUAUACAGGUUGUACAUCAGGGCUGAAGAAGAGCAUACAAAGUUUGCAAAUAUGCAUUAACAAAUUAUCAUGCUGCCAAAGUCAUUUGUAUUUGUAACACAUCUAAUGCUCUUAAGCAGUGCUGUGGGUGAACCUGAAAGGCAGAAGUAGUAUUUUUAUGCUAAUAUGCUAUAAAAUAUCUUAGCAAAAUAAGCAAGUCCCUCUGCAGUGGGUGUUUAUUUUCCUUGAUACGAUUUAGAAGAUUCUCAUGUGACAAUCUUUUGUGUUGUAUUUGUAAAAUGAUCUCUAUGAGAAUAGCACACUAUUAUAAUCCAUUACAAUAUAAGUUGCUUGAGCAGCAGAAAGCUCCUAAUACAGUGCUUCACAAUGGAGCACUUAAACAGUUUAAUACAGCUUUCAUGUACAGUAUUUUAAAGAAUCGCUACAAGCCAUGUUUGCAGUGCUUUCGGGAAAGCAGGGUAAUAUUGAGGAGAACCUCCUUACCAGAGAGCUUCCUGUCACCCGAACGAUCAUGUUGCUGUUCCAGCAAAUCCAGGUGGGAACAUUUUCAAGGAAAUGUCGAAUACUUCUCCUUUUGCCCAGAAACAGCACAGCUAUUUUUAGGGAUAUUUUUCAUUGGCCUGCAGCACACUUCAGUUGCUGUAGCAUAAUGGAGAGUGGCAUAUUGUAUGUUACGUUGAAUUGAGAAAAUGACUGUGUUGCAUCAUGUCUGUAUUUGGCACUGAAGGAUGCUGAGAUAUUCAUAUUUCCUCAUACUUGUGCCAAUUUGUAUGCAACACAGAUUUAUCAUAAAUAGAAUGUAGGAUCUGGGAUGUAUCCUGUACUCGUUUACCCCUCUAUCAAUCAGGUGUAACACCUUGAUAGCAAAACUUUUUCAAGGGAGCCUGGAAUCAGUCCCAGUGUAUUCUGGUCAUACUCUGUUUACGGUGCUUAAAAAGAAGACACUGUUGUUGUAGAAAGAGCUGGUAUUGUAACAUAUACCUUAUGGGCUCUACUUAUAUAGACUCAUGAGGCUCAAAAAUAUAAAUAUCCAAAAAUUAUCCGUUCUUUUUAGAGCAUUUUCUAAUUAAUGGGACACGUGAAGACCCUGCAUGGGAACUCACUUGAGAGAAUGCAAAAGGCCCCACAGGCACCCCAGGAUGAUCAGGUUCAGCUUCCCAGGGAAAAAGGCUCUCAGGUAGGCAGUUAAGGCUCCAUGGUCACCAAGCAGCUCUGGCCCCAAAGUAAGCUACAGUGGCACGGGGACUUCGCAGCCGUUGCCCUUCGUCCCCGCCAUCCCCGGGCACCGCCUCUGCGGGGGCGUGCGUUUGGCGGAGGAUCCGACUCCUAGGGAGAGCAGACGGACAGCUGCACCCGGUCGCUGGACCGAGAUGGGGUCGGGUAAGCUGCUGCACAAUCACUCCAUGGUGUUUUCCUCCUCCAGUAUUGUAUCGCAUUUAGUGAGAAAAAUAAAAAAUAAGCUUUGGGCUCUCUGUUUUAAUCUAAAUAACUGUUAUUCCUACAACUAGGAUAAUAUUAAAUCAACUUUACAUCACUGAUGGAAAUGUGAUUACAGACAAUUAUGCAACUGUCUUUGGAGACAGAGAAGCUGCAGGUUUUUUCAAUACCUGCUCUGUGAGCGAGAAGGCUCCUCACUCAGUGAGCUACCUCAGCCAGUCGGAGGCGGGUCCCCAGGCUGUGUUUGCAUGGCAAGUCAGCGUAGGCGUUGCGUUACUGUUCAACCCUGAAGACUGUCAUUGGCCAAGUAAUGGGGACAUCAGGAGCUAAUAUUGUAACUGCCUGUCAUUAGAAACAGAAGAUUUUAGUUUUCAAGACUAUCAUUAUAUCAACCUUUAGGUACAUGUCUCUCCAUCCCCUCAGAAAACAGCACAUCUUUUAUGUGCAGAUCUCAGCAGUAACUAAGAAAAGACUUUCUGACUUAAAUUAGAAAGAUCAGCUAUACUCUGUUUGGCAAACUGAACUGCACAUUAAAGUCACUUUUGAUUUAGUCGUUUUAAGAGAUCUGUCCCUAUCACAACUGUUUCCUUUAGUCCUUGAUAGUGGGUUAAAGACGUGCUUUUUUUUUUUUACAUCUUAUUUAGGUAAAAUAGCAAAUAAAAAUAUUUCCUAACGUUCUUUUCUAAACUACCUCUUAAACAAUUGGAGAAAAUGAGCUGAAUGAAUUGAUUUAGGCAGUUCAAUCUGCUGCAUUAGACAAUAUUUUAAAAGGCUCUAAGAGCAUCUGUGUUGGGAGAAAAUAGGGCAGAGGCCCCUCAUCCACAGCAAGCUACUUAUUAGAAAGCGGGGGGCUCCAUCAACAUCAGGGAGACCUUUGCCACCGACUUCAGUCAGGUUAGGAUUUUAGCCUGUAUGAACUAUCAGUAGACUGAUAUUUAACCCUAUAUUCUCAGCUGCUGGUGAGAUACGUUCCAGCUCAUUAGACGAGCACAUUUAUCCUGUGGACUCAAGCAAUGACGGGGAUUGAAGGUCCUCACAUAGUUCCUAUUGCUGCGGAGCUCGGUGAGCAAAGGGGACCCGCCAGGAGCUGUUUGCAGCAGGGUCUUAAGCAGCUGCUUCCACAAUGUUUCCAGUCCCUGAUGACACCAGAAUAAGGGUGAAAAGGAUGAAGAGAAACAUCAGCAGCACCUGGAAUUAAAUUUAGUGUUUUUAACUGAACCAGUGUUCCCUUCUCUUUGCUUUGCACCUUGCAAUACAUCUGAAACAGCUAUAUAUUUGAUGCUGCUCUGUAAUAUUACUCAGUGUCUGAAGUUAGAGAGUGACGUCCUAAAGAAUGAGAUGUCGACUAGAACAGAAUUAUCACAGUAAUUAUUGGUUGCUCUUGUUGUCUUUUUGUAGAAUAUUCCUUUCAUUUAUUUUUAACUGAGUGGAUAUCGGGAAUCCUUAUAAUUAUUCUGAAGAUCAAACUCUGCUCUCGGAUGCUCAUAACUCAGUAUUUGGCCUUUUGAAACUGUGCCAAACAGUUUAAUUUGUAAUUACUCACUUUAUUUAUUGGAACUGUCACUAUAUCAGAAGGAACUGUGCUUUCUAUAUGCAGUCUAGAUACUCCUACAGGAGUCCUUCUAGACUGCACAGGUAUUUGCUGUCCACGCUGAAAAAAGUUGCUACCUUAUUAAUAUUGCAAACCUAAAAAUAAGUACUUGAAUACUUUUAUACUGUGCCAUAACUGAGUCCAGUCACACACAACGUCAAGUGUUUUCUAACUUAAUAUUUGGGAAUUCAGCCAAAAAGCUGUGUUUUUCUGCCAGAAGUAAAGUAGCACAUCAAGAAUAUUUCAGUACUCAACAGCAUUCUCAUUAAAAGAACAGAGCUCUUAACAAGUUUUGCAUUAUUUUUUCUCUCUCUAGAUAAUUCAGGUGUUAUCUAAUCUAAAAGGCUGAGAUCUGCAUAUAGUUUAAAUGCAUUUCAUGCAAACAGAAACUAAUUGCAUAACUAAUUAUUUUUAAUCAUUAACCAGCUUACAUCGUACUAGGCUCAUUGAUUUUUAAGACAUUACUAAUACUGUGUUUGCCAAAUUCAGCUUAAUACAGUCAUGCUGUUAAGUCCUUGGAACAGUACAAAGCAGCAGAAGGUGAGUUUGAUUCCACAUUUAUACAUGAAUCUUCCUUAGUAAAAGAAGGUAUGUAAAAUACACCAAAUAGGGCCGAUACGCAGUAGAAUAUGUUAGCAAAUGCCCCCUUGCAGUGGGAUUCCACGUGACGCAGUGAACUAUACUCUGAACCUUAUGUGAGAUUACAGUACAAUUGCAGACUUACUAUUUUCUCCCUAUAAGGAGUUCAAUUAGUUUCUAUUUUUCAAAGCUGAACUCUCAAAAAUCCUCAAUAAUAUGUUGACAUUGAAAUCAGUUAUUGACUUUAACAGCAGAAGUAGAGUAAGACUCUCAAAACUUAAAACUCUCAUGGUCUAAUGCUUCUAAAAAGCCCCUGUAUACAUACACAAAAUGUGUUUCUCAGCCUAAAUAGUAGGGCAUUUUUUUCUCCUUUUUCUUUAUUCGGUCAGAAUUUCCAAGGAUAUCUACUUAUGUUUUCCAAGACAAAUCUACUUAUUUGUAUCUGUAUAAUAGCUAAAUAGUAUUUAUUUAGUCUUAAAUCAGGCUUUCAAAGCAUCAUAUAUACAAUAAGGAACCCAUACAACAUUCUUCUAAGGUUGGUAAAAAGUAGUAUUAACAUCAUUUUACACAGCAGGAAACUGAGGCAGAAAUUAUGCAGUGACUUAAACAGGCACAGCAAAAUAGAAAAUUCCAGGCUUGCCAGUCCUAAGAGUUCUACAGUAUAGGGUGUCUCUCUAGUAUUAAGUUCCAAGUUUUUGCUGUCACAGUAAAAUAUGCAGAAACAAAUUUUUAAAUCCUUAGUGUAUUGCUUUACAGGUCAUGCACAUGGUUAGACAAUUUACUGGUUACUUCAUAUGGUGCUCUAAGAACAUUCAAAAUAGGUGACAAUAGCCUUUGAAUAGUAUUUAAUACAUUUCAAUUAAUGGCCUCUUGAUCUUAUAAGAAACCGGUUCACAGGUAUAUACAGAUUGCUGCAAAAGUACUUGCUGAAAUUGUAGAACAAACAAUCCAGAACAAGACAAUGAAUAGUAGCAGGUUGUCCUGAAGAGACACAUGGUGGAUUCAUGAGAAACAAGUAAAGGAAUCUGUGCUUCUACUGCUUCAAAAAUUAGUUAUAUCCAUGUCUGCUUACUUGUGGAAGACAGUAAAGGACACAGGCUGAGUGUUUAUAUUGCAUAGGAAAACAAUAAACAAUCCUUCUGUAAAAGAAAAAAAUGAAGCAAAUACUUCCACUAUCUCCUAACUUUAAAUUCAUUUAAAAAGCAAUGUGGUGAUGUGAAUAUAAAUCAGUGGUAAAAUCAUGGAACGCAAUCAACACAGUUAUGUUCCUCAAAAGCUCCAAUGAAGAAGGGGACAUGUGAUUCUAAUGCCUUUUCUAGAUUAGAAGUAAAAAUACAUCUGAAUUAUCUUAAAAUGUUGAUGAUAUCUUUUAUCACAAAUGGAUGUUUAAGACCAUUUAUAUUAUAUUCAUGUAUUGUAAGGGGGUUUAGGACUACAGCUAUUAAUUGCAAGGACAUUAUUUCUGAAUCAGGAGAUCUUUGAAUCACAACCUGUUGGAGAUUGGAAGAACAUUCAGGGAAACCCUAACCACGUACUCAUCUUUUCUGAUAGCCUGUCUGGAGACAUCUGUUUCCUGUCACUGAUGGGAGUAGGCAAUGGGCUAGGUGAGCUGGUACAGUCAUUCCUGCUUGUGUUUUGAAGUUCUUAUGUUGGCAUAAAAUAAA